GGUCAGCUGGUGCAAUUGGUAACUCAUUGGAUCGGCAAUCCAAAGAUGUGGGUUCAAGCCCCACGUUGACCA
This is a non-coding RNA of Cydia pomonella (codling moth), 72 nucleotides long. The record is from the annotation of a RefSeq genome assembly. Lineage: Eukaryota; Metazoa; Arthropoda; Insecta; Lepidoptera; Tortricidae.